CGGACCGUAGCGCAGCUUGGUAGCGCGUCUGCUUUGGGUGCAGAAUGUCGCAGGUUCAAAUCCUGUCGGUCCGA
Molecule: transfer RNA, 74 nt
Filed under: Aeriscardovia aeriphila
Lineage: Bacteria; Bacillati; Actinomycetota; Actinomycetes; Bifidobacteriales; Bifidobacteriaceae
Rfam family: tRNA
About the family: Transfer RNA (tRNA) molecules are approximately 80 nucleotides in length.
Source: Rfam by way of RNAcentral